Molecule: microRNA precursor, 136 nt
Filed under: Hordeum vulgare
Lineage: Eukaryota; Viridiplantae; Streptophyta; Magnoliopsida; Poales; Poaceae
Description: microRNA MIR1122
Rfam family: MIR1120/MIR1122 microRNA precursor family
Source: RNAcentral
UUAGUACUUCCUCCGUUCCAAUUUUUUUAUUUUAGAUUUGUCUAGAUAUGAAUGUAUCUAGUCAUAUUUUAAUAUUUAGAUACAUCUAUUUCUAGACAAACUUAAGACAAGAAUUUUAAGACGAAGGGAGUAUAUU